Long non-coding RNA from Malaclemys terrapin pileata, 1838 nucleotides. RefSeq lists it as uncharacterized. The record is from RefSeq and is a predicted model, not a curated record. The transcript is spliced from 3 exons. Lineage: Eukaryota; Metazoa; Chordata; Testudines; Emydidae.
AUGAUUUAUUAUAAAGGGUAAAACAAAGGGUUGAAAUCACACUACUAUAUUUUCAUGAUGUCUUUCAUACAAGUUACAAAUAAAAUCAAGCCAUAUUUUAAAGAGAAAACUGAAGAGUUUUGAGUUGAACAUUUAGGAUCAGGGAAAUUGACUUGAUGUCAGGGAGACAGUACAAGAGAGACUGGGCAUCACAAUGGAACAUCAGAUGGUUCAGCUCCCUAAAUUAGUGGAUGUCCCAAGAUUUGACUGUGUCUUAGGACACUUGGAAGCUCAGUGUCUCAACAUGAUGCUUUCCUCAUGCCAUCAUGCAUUUGGACCAUAAUUACUUGCCUCCUUCAUGGCUGUGCAGUAACAACCAUAGAGAGGAGCCAGACAGAGCUAAUGUCAACUCUGAAACAGUAUUAACUUCCAAAUAGAUAGCUGUAGAGGCUAUAGCAUAACAUGUUCCCCAACUCUACCCUCUCCUUGUCCUAUGCCCAAAUUACUAUGGAGGUCUGACAUCACUGAUUUUGAAUAGAGGGAAACUCUGCCCGGGGUUCUGAAAUGAAUAGCUUCAUGUUGGUGGAGAGAAGAAUAUGGCCCUAAAAAUCACAGCAGUGGUUGGAUUAUAGAAACAUCUGCCCAUUGUGACAGACCAGGGGAGGAAUAAUGGAUCCAUAAACAUGGAACAAAGUGGGGAUUUUACACAGAAUUUUGGUGGAACUUCAUCUUGCAUUUACUGAAAUCUCUAGCCAAAUCUGCUCUUGCAUACACUCAUGCAAAAUUAACUGAAGUCAUUGGGGUUGCAUCGUGGUAACUAAGAACAAAAUUUGGCCCUCCAAUUCUGUAAGUAGUCAGUAUGUACAAAAUUAAAGGUUUAAUUUACACUCCCAAAUUGUAAUUAGGUUUUUUGCUGUAAGGGAAAUGAGGAAUGUGGAGAGAGUCUGGGAGCAGCCAUUCCACAUGCCAUGUUGUCCUGAGGAACCUGUGUAAUUUCAGAAAACAAAAUCUUAUGGGAGUUAAUGCCCAUCACAGUAGCAUUAACUUCUGAUCAAUGUCUUCAGUCCCCCUUAGGGGAGUAGAAAUGCACCUUAUGACACCAUGGCUGUGGAACAAACUCUACAAAGGAAAGAGAGGGAUGGAAAGCGCCACUGAGAUGCAGACCACUGUGUGUCUGCGCCAACCUCCCUAGCUAGUGACAGGAUUUCUUGUGGAACAAUGGGCUGAUUGGUCGCCAUGACCCCUGUCUCCUCUAUGUGACCAGGGCCGGCUCUAGGAACCAGCAAAGCAAGCAGUUGCUUGGGGUGGCAAAUUUGCAGGGGCACAAGAAUCCAGCAUGGGAGCUGAGAACCAACAGGGGGCCCUGGGAGCUGUAGUUCCUUGGUUAGUCCCUGCCUAUACAGCCAGCCCUGGAGCAGGGAAAGAACUACAUUUCCCAGCAUUCCCUCUGCCGCAAUUAACAGGAAAGGGAGGGGGAAGGAAUGUGGAACUGAAACCUCAUGCUGCAGCUUGCUGUGAAUGGCCUAAAGAUAGGAAACAAUUGAUGGUAAGUCGUAUGGAUCGGAGAGCUUCGUCGAACGUUGAAGCUUUGAGGAGGCAAUCGUCUAGGUGGCUGGAGACCUAGGGACCGGAGGGUUGCUCUUGCGUUCUUCAUCGAAUGAAGCACGUCGUUCGUGGUGGAGGCAAAAAGUUUUUCCCCGUCAAAGGGAAGAUCUUCAAUGGUGCUCUGAACCUCUCGAGGAAAGAAAGAGGAGGAGAGCCAUGAACCCCGUCGCAUGACCAAUGCUGUGGCGGUCGACCUUGCUGCAGUGUUAGCUACAUCGAGGGCCGCUUGAAGAGCAGUAUGUGAUAUGGUUUGU